Molecule: long non-coding RNA, 1668 nt
Organism: Papaver somniferum (opium poppy)
Lineage: Eukaryota; Viridiplantae; Streptophyta; Magnoliopsida; Ranunculales; Papaveraceae
Exons: 2
Source: RefSeq, a predicted model, not a curated record
UUUUCUUUCUUAUUCAUUUUUCUCUUUUCUUCUUCCGUUCUUCCUUCUCUUUUCUCUGUCGAUUCAGUUUCUAAGGUUUGAGCUCAAAUUUGUUGUGGCUAAUUCAUAAGAAGUUUGUAAUUUGAAGAAUCGAAGAAGUAGAUGAUUCCACCAAGGUUGGUUGAGCACGGGAAGGAUGGAUGGAGUUGUUUCUGUAAAUUAAGUUAGGGUUUCUGAAAGAUGAAGUUUGAUUGAGGAAUUAUAUGAAAUUGAGUAUGAAGUCAAUUCAUUGAAGAUGGGUUUUUUCUAUCGAGAGUAAAGAAGAAUAUUUAGUAUCUGAUAUCGAUUCACAGUGAAGGUUUGGCGAAUUAGGGUUAUAGUUGGAUUCGAAAUUUGAAUGAAAUUAUUAAGUUGAUUGAGUUGUUCUUAGAUGAAGGAUAAAUGGGUUGUUGUUGAAUUAAUGAGGUGAAGCGGUUCUGUUUAAGGGGUUUCGUGUAAAUAUUCAUAGAUGUCUUAGAAGAAUAAAUUGAGUUGAUGAAGACUAUGAGGCGUGGUUUGAAGAAGAAUUUGAUUGGUAGAAGCUGAACGUGCUAAUGAUUGAGGUAAUUUAUUUCCUCUGGAAAUUUAGUGAGAGUAUUUCUUGUUGUUGUGGUCUUAAAUUUGAUUAUAACAUUGAAAUGGUGGUGAAUGAUGAUUGUUGAGCUAUGUUGAUGUUGUUCGAGUUUCAAUCCAGUGGUAUGUCUCAACAGAUGAGUAUUGACAUGAAUCAGUGUUAUAGAUUGGUGGUAGUGGUUUUGUCAGUUACGGGGUAUGGGGGAAGUUUAUGAUACAGGGAUUGAGCUUUAAGAACUGAGGUGGUUGAUGGCCUGGUGUUUGUAAGGUAGUUGAACUGAGAUGUAUGUAUAUUUGAAGAGGCGGUUGAUUAAGAAGAUUAUGAUGUUUGAUGCAUGAGGAACUGUAAUUGAAGUAAGGUUCUGUGAUUGUUUAUAAUUCUAGGAUGAAUUAAUGAAAUUGUGUUGAAUGACAGUGGCAGAUGAGAUGGAGGUGGAGUUAAGAUUCUGGUGGAGUUGUUAAUGGUGUUGUGAUUCCAAAUGAAUUGCAGGCCUGAAGUUGAUGGUGUUAUAUGAGUUGUUGAUUUUGGUAUUGUAAUUGAGUUUUGGAAUUCAGGUUUAGUAGUGGAAUUUGUUAUAGCUAGUGGUGCUGGAAAUAUUACAAAGAAGAUUGUGAGAAUAGUUAUAGACAUGGAGUUGCUGCUUCUAUGUAGAUUAAUGUUGUAGCAGGAUGUAGAAGGAGUGUUGCUUAGAACUGCUCUUGCAGUUUCAGAGACAGAUCAGAGUUGCGCAGCGAAAGCUUCGAGGAGUUGAAUCUGUUAAUUAGUUAACUUCUGAUAUGUGUAUUAUGUCGUUUAUUUUAUUUGCAAACCAAAAUGACUAUUGUAUAUGUAUCAUUUGAGAGAAGUUCUUGUAUAUAUAUUCCUGAGCGGGGCUAGUAUUGGGUUAAGUUCCAUGGAAGAUUUUCUAAAUGAAUGUUAAAGUAAAUGUUUUAGAUCCUUAGUGCCUCUUUGUUUAGUUAAUCACUUGGAUUAGUCAGCUGUUAGCUUUAGGGGCGCUGCAGUUUUCAUCUUCAUGUUUUUAGAUUUAUUUGUUUAAAUUCUAAAAUUGUUUGAAAGAUGAUUUUUUGCAGUAUUAA